This 570-nucleotide ribosomal RNA is filed under the name fungal sp. RNAcentral describes it as "eukaryotic LSU rRNA". The stretch from base 205 to 358 matches the Rfam family "5.8S ribosomal RNA". The record is from RNAcentral. Lineage: Eukaryota; Fungi.
UGCGGAAGGAUCAUUAAUGAGUUAGGGUCACACGUGGCCCGACCUCCAACCCUCUGUCGUUAAAAAAAACCACUGUUGCUUUGGCGGGACAGCCGUGCCUCACGGCGCGGCCGCCGGUCUUCGGCCCGGUGAGCGCCCGCCAGGGUCAAAAAACUUAACUCUUGUUUUAACCGUGUCGUCUGAGUAAAAAGUUAAAUCAAUUAAAACUUUCAACAACGGAUCUCUUGGUUCUGGCAUCGAUGAAGAACGCAGCGAAAUGCGAUAAGUAAUGUGAAUUGCAGAAUUCAGUGAAUCAUCGAAUCUUUGAACGCACAUUGCGCCCCUUGGUAUUCCGAGGGGCAUGCCUGUUCGAGCGUCAUUACACCAAUCAAGCACCGCUUGGCAUUGGGCCGUCGUCCCCCCCUCCGCGGGGGGGCGUGCCCCAAACAUUUCGGCGGAGUCCCCAGGGCUUUGGGCGUAGUAGAAUCUUCAAAACGUCCUACGAGCCCCGGGGGUCUUUUGCCGGCGAACACCACACCUUUCUCAGUUUGACCUCGGAUCAGGUAGGGAUACCCGCUGAACUUAAGCAUA